GACGAACGCUGGCGGCGUGCCUAAUACAUGCAAGUUGAGCGAUGAAGAUUGGUGCUUGCACCAAUUUGAAGAGCAGCGAACGGGUGAGUAACGCGUGGGGAAUCUGCCUUUGAGCGGGGGACAACAUUUGGAGACGAAUGCUAAUACCGCAUAACAACUUUAAACAUAAGUUUUAAGUUUGAAAGAUGCAAUUGCAUCACUCAAAGAUGAUCCCGCGUUGUAUUAGCUAGUUGGUGAGGUAAAGGCUCACCAAGGCGAUGAUACAUAGCCGACCUGAGAGGGUGAUCGGCCACAUUGGGACUGAGACACGGCCCAAACUCCUACGGGAGGCAGCAGUAGGGAAUCUUCGGCAAUGGACGAAAGUCUGACCGAGCAACGCCGCGUGAGUGAAGAAGGUUUUCGGAUCGUAAAACUCUGUUGGUAGAGAAGAACGUUGGUGAGAGUGGAAAGCUCAUCAAGUGACGGUAACUACCCAGAAAGGGACGGCUAACUACGUG
RNAcentral lists this ribosomal RNA (497 nucleotides) under uncultured bacterium. RNAcentral describes it as "partial 16S ribosomal RNA". It matches the Rfam family "Bacterial small subunit ribosomal RNA", at positions 28 to 507 of the family's 1533-position model. The record is from RNAcentral.